This 355-nucleotide ribosomal RNA is filed under the name Phytosciara flavipes. Its description in RNAcentral is "partial 12S ribosomal RNA". The record is from RNAcentral. Lineage: Eukaryota; Metazoa; Arthropoda; Insecta; Diptera; Sciaridae.
UUAAAAUGUAGAGAAACAAAAUUGAAUUAGUAUUAGUUAUGUUCUUGAAAAUUAAUAAAUUUGGCGGUAUUUUAUUCUACUCAGAGGAAUUUGUUUUAUAAUUGAUAGUACACAUUAAAUCUUACUUAAUUUAUUAAAAUUUGUAUAUCGUCGUCAUAAGAAUAUCUUAAAAGAGAUUAAAUAUUCUAAAAUUUUAAAUGAAAAUUAUGUCAGAUCAAGGUGCAGUUUAUAAUUAAGAAAAAAUGAAUUACAAUAAAUUUAUUUAUAUGAAUUUAUUAUUAAAAUAUGAUAUUGAAGGUGGAUUUGACAGUAAAUUUAUAAAUAUAAAUAAAUUAAACAUAGUUUUAAAAUAUGU